Molecule: ribosomal RNA, 253 nt
Filed under: uncultured bacterium
Lineage: Bacteria
Description: partial 16S ribosomal RNA
Rfam family: Bacterial small subunit ribosomal RNA
Source: RNAcentral
UACGUAGGGUGCGAGCGUUAAUCGGAAUUACUGGGCGUAAAGCGUGCGCAGGCGGUCUUGUAAGACAGAGGUGAAAUCCCCGGGCUCAACCUGGGAACUGCCUUUGUGACUGCAAGGCUUGAGUGCGGCAGAGGGGGAUGGAAUUCCGCGUGUAGCAGUGAAAUGCGUAGAUAUGCGGAGGAACACCGAUGGCGAAGGCAAUCCCCUGGGCCUGCACUGACGCUCAUGCACGAAAGCGUGGGGAGCAAACAGG